UUUUAUUUGGGGAUUCUUUGAGCAGAGGAACUCUUUUCCCUUCGAAAAUAUAGGGAUUGGCCUCAUAAAUUUCGGUGUUUAUACUACUUUUUUCUUAAUUUUAGAUUUAUGAGCGAAUUCUUAUGGAUUUUUCUUCUAGAUCUUAGUGGCGAUGUAUAAGAUAUUUUAAUUAAUAAGAUGGGACGUUUCUUCAUUGAUUUUGUACACUUGUACAAUUAUAAAUUCUAGUUUACUUUUAU
Molecule: long non-coding RNA, 239 nt
Filed under: Salvia miltiorrhiza (redroot sage)
Lineage: Eukaryota; Viridiplantae; Streptophyta; Magnoliopsida; Lamiales; Lamiaceae
Description: long non-coding RNA (SMIL_LNC013377)
Source: RNAcentral